This 906-nucleotide long non-coding RNA is filed under the name Equus caballus (horse). RNAcentral describes it as "lncRNA (ENSECAG00000053620.1)". The record is from RNAcentral. Lineage: Eukaryota; Metazoa; Chordata; Mammalia; Perissodactyla; Equidae.
CAACUGCAACGUCCACUGCUGUUUUGCCUAAUUUGCUUCUCUGCUGGGGGGGAAACAAGUCCUGAAGAGGAAUAAAAACAGCUGGUUCUUUCAACCAUCAAAGGCAGAACUGGACGCUAUAUGGAAGAGGCUCCAAGGUGUCAACGUGCUUCCCGGCCAAGAGACCGCCUCUGGUGUGUGGUUGCUGGAGAUUGUAAGACAUCAGUCAGGUAGGGCAGCCUCGGGGGCCCUGCUGGGGCACAGCACGCGGUUCUUAAGCGCUCCCCAGACAGAGAAGGAAAUGGCGGAGAAAGAAGAGGAGACAGAGAAGCAGAAUCGUGCCAAAGAGAUGGAUUUGGUGGUCCAUUAUUUCGCUCGCUCGCUCCCCUUCCUAGGAAUUCAGCCUCACUGCCUGCCCAGCGCCUUCGUUCCAGGCGCACCCAGCCUGCUGUCUGUUAGGAGCUUUGCGUGUGUGAGAACCCCAAACAGCCUGACGCAGCCUGGAGUCUCACAGCAUCACCCCCAGCAUCCAUUUUCACCGGCAGCCACAGCUGAUUCACUUCACCCCCUGUGUGUCACACUCUGGGAACCAGCCACAGCAUGUCCCCCUCAGAGACAUCAGCACCAGUCAGCCAGCGAGCCUCCUCCGAGCUUGAAGUCUCAGCUCCGCAGAGUUUCUUCUCCAGGCCCCUGGGUUCUAACAACCCCAAUCUCUUUCUUUGUUCCCUCCCCAAGGGCGGUAGCUGCUUUUAUGUAGUUACUAUCUCUGUGUGUCCUCAAUGACUCCUUUCUGCCUUCCCAGCCCUCCAACCCUUUUGAAUCAAUUCUCUAUAUUAAAAUCUCUCUGUAAAAAUAACUGUGGGAGCUGUUUUCUGACUGACUGCCAUGGAUGGCAUAGGGAAAAGUAACCCCCAUCCCCUGUGAGCC